GAUGAACGCUGGCGGCGUGCCUAAUACAUGCAAGUCGAGCGAACGGACGAUAAGCUUGCGUCUCUGAUGUUAGCGGCGGACGGGUGAGUAACACGUGGAUAACCUACCUAUAAGACUGGGAUAACUUCGGGAAACCGGAGCUAAUACCGGCUAAUAUUUUGAACCGCAUGGUUCAAAAGUGAAAGACGGUCUUGCUGUCACUUAUAGAUGGAUCCGCGCUGCAUUAGCUAGUUGGUAAGGUAACGGCUUACCAAGGCAACGAUGCAUAGCCGACCUGAGAGGGUGAUCGGCCACACUGGAACUGAGACACGGUCCAGACUCCUACGGGAGGCAGCAGUAGGGAAUCUUCCGCAAUGGGCGAAAGCCUGACGGAGCAACGCCGCGUGAGUGAUGAAGGUCUUCGGAUCGUAAAACUCUGUUAUUAGGGAAGAACAUAUGUGUAAGUAACUGUGCACAUCUUGACGGUACCUAAUCAGAAAGCCACGGCUAACUACGUG
RNAcentral lists this ribosomal RNA (497 nucleotides) under uncultured bacterium. Its description in RNAcentral is "partial 16S ribosomal RNA". It matches the Rfam family "Bacterial small subunit ribosomal RNA", at positions 28 to 507 of the family's 1533-position model. The record is from RNAcentral.